Molecule: ribosomal RNA, 478 nt
Filed under: uncultured bacterium
Lineage: Bacteria
Description: partial 16S ribosomal RNA
Rfam family: Bacterial small subunit ribosomal RNA
Source: RNAcentral
GAUGAACGCUAGCGGGAGGCCUAACACAUGCAAGCCGAGCGGUAUUGUUUCUUCGGAAAUGAGAGAGCGGCGUACGGGUGCGUAACACGUGUGCAACCUGCCUUUAUCUGGGGGAUAGCCUUUCGAAAGGAAGAUUAAUACUCCAUAAUAUAUUGAACGGCAUCGUUUAAUAUUGAAAGCUCCGGCGGAUAGAGAUGGGCACGCGCAAGAUUAGCUAGUUGGUGAGGUAACGGCUCACCAAGGCGAUGAUCUUUAGGGGGCCUGAGAGGGUGAUCCCCACACUGGUACUGAGACACGGACCAGACUCCUACGGGAGGCAGCAGUGAGGAAUAUUGGUCAAUGGGUGCAAGCCUGAACCAGCCAUCCCGCGUGAAGGACGACUGCCCCAUGGGUUGUAAACUUCUUUUGUAUAGGGAUAAACCUACCCUCGUGAGGGUAGCUGAAGGUACUAUACGAAUAAGCACCGGCUAACUCCGUG